AGCGAACGCUGGCGGUAGGCCUAACACAUGCAAGUCGAACGGCAGCACAGUAAGAGCUUGCUCUUACGGGUGGCGAGUGGCGGACGGGUGAGGAAUACAUCGGAAUCUACUUUUUCGUGGGGGAUAACGUAGGGAAACUUACGCUAAUACCGCAUACGACCUACGGGUGAAAGCAGGGGAUCUUCGGACCUUGCGCGAUUGAAUGAGCCGAUGUCGGAUUAGCUAGUUGGCGGGGUAAAGGCCAACCAAGGCGACGAUCCGUAGCUGGUCUGAGAGGAUGAUCAGCCACACUGGAACUGAGACACGGUCCAGGCUCCUACGAGAGGCAGCAGUGGGGAAUAUUGGACAAUGGGCGCAAGCCUGAUCCAGCCAUACCGCGUGGGUGAAGAAGACCUUCGGGUUGUAAAGCCCUUUUGUUGGGAAAGAAAAGCAGCAGGUUAAUACCCCGCUGUUCUGACGGUACCCAAAGAAUAAGCACCGGCUAACUUCGUG
This 492-nucleotide ribosomal RNA is filed under the name uncultured bacterium. RNAcentral describes it as "partial 16S ribosomal RNA". It matches the Rfam family "Bacterial small subunit ribosomal RNA", at positions 29 to 507 of the family's 1533-position model. The record is from RNAcentral.